AUUGAACGCUGGCGGCAGGCCUAACACAUGCAAGUCGAGCGAGCGGAGGACGGGUGAGUAAUGUCUGGGAAACGGCCUGCUGGAGGGGGAUAACUACUGGAAACGGUAGCUAAUACCGCAUACCAUCAGAUGUGCCCAGAUGGGAUUAGCUAGUAGGUGGGGUAAUGGUGCACUUCGGCGACGAUCCCUAGCUGGUCUGCGAGGAUGACCAGCCACACUGGAACGGAGACACGGUCCAUACUCCUACGCGAGGCAGCAGUGGGGAAUAUUGCACAAUGGGCGCAAGCCUGAUGCAACCAUUCCGCGUGUACGAAGAAGGCCUUCGGGUUGUAAAGUACUUUCAGCGGGGAGGCGUUACCCGCAGAAGAAGCACCGGCUAACUCCGUGCCAGCAGCCGCGGUAAUUC
RNAcentral lists this ribosomal RNA (406 nucleotides) under uncultured bacterium. Its description in RNAcentral is "partial 16S ribosomal RNA". It matches the Rfam family "Bacterial small subunit ribosomal RNA", at positions 30 to 526 of the family's 1533-position model. The record is from RNAcentral.